UUUAAUUGUACACUUAAAUAGGGUGAACUUUAUGGUAUAUGAAUUGUAUCUCUCUGUCUCUGUUUCUCUUUGUCUCUAUGUCUCUCCAUAUUUAUAUAAAACUUUAUGUAGCUUUUUACAGUUAUAGUUAGGGAGACCAGGUAGUGACAGUGAAUUAGGCUUGUGUGAAAUAAAGAGAGGAAGAGGCACAUUUUUAUACAUUAUAUCCUAUGAUUAUAACUAUGUGAAAUUAUUCAUCUAAAAAUAAAUUGGAAUAAAAUAAUAGAUGAGUUACAUUAGAGUAAUUAAAUUCUAGUUUUUCUUGUUUAUACUUUGCAAAUAGAAUGUAAUAUUGUUAUAUUACCUUUAUAAUUAAAAAUACUCUUUCAUUCAAAACCAAUACUUUAUUCCAAGUCUCUAUCAUAGAGACUGAUCAUUGUAAACUAGCUUUCAAGUCACUACUUCGUUUGCGUUCCGGUGGCAUGUAAUACAGUCUCCUCCCCAGACUUUUUUCCUCCAGGACAGAGGCUGUAUCUUACCCACUUCUGUCUCCUCGGCACCUCUCUCAGAUGCUGACAAAUAAUCUCUGUGGCACUUCAAUUAAGGAAUCUCCUGGGAGUGAUUGCCCUUUGUAAGGCAUCAGCCUUGUUAAAACACUCCUCCCAUCGUAAAUCACAUCGGUGAAGCAGAGCCUCUCGUCCCCAGAUAAGGUACCUCUCUGUACCGCUUCUAUUCAUAUCUUUCCAAUUAAAAGCACAAGAGGCAGAGGUCCGGAGCACACCAAGUACCCUAAACUCUUCUUUCCUUUCCCCUCAAUGGCGACAGGCUCACCUCACUUGCUCUUUUCCUCUCAUCAAACACAACCUAUUGUUAGAAAAAUGCAUUUCCCUCUUUCCAAAGAUCAAAUCCAAUACAAGUUGCAAUUGUUUACCACCCACAUCUCUACAGUCACUCAAAAUGAAGUGUUGGUGCCAUCUGGCAUUUUCCUUUGUUUAAAGUACAAAUAGUGUCUAAAUCGUUCACUUCAUUGCCUUGUUCAGGGAAUUUUAGGAGUCACCCAGUAGAACACUUAUUUUGUUUUUCUUAGCUUACCUUGGAAAGGGAUGUCAGGAGGGUUUACCCAUGGUCUUCACCAAAGAUCACCUCCACUUCACUGCUUCAGGCCUGCGUGGAAAUCAAGUUUGGAUUAAUCCAGGGGAAGUGCUAAACUCCUGGUGUCAAGAGCUGUUGGAGGUCGAGAAAACUGUAUUGUAUUUCCUCACUGGCUUUUGGAGCCAUUAAUCGUAGCAAUUUGUGUUUCCUCUGCUAUGUGCGAUAUCCUUAACCAGUUCUUGUCUCACAAUGACACGAGACCCCCCAGUACAUAUUUUAUGUUUUCUAGAACAUAUGACCUUAUCUUGAGUUAAUAUGUAGAUUGUGUGUGUGUGUGUGUGUGUGUGUGUGUACAUGUGCCAUUAGCACCCAUGUGCUCCUUACCUGAAACCCUAUUCUUCUAUUACAUCCCUGCCUCUGGAUAUGAAUUUUCUGAUUAUAUUCUCUUUGUUUAUAUAGGGAUUAUUUUACUUUUGAAAAACAUUCUGAGAAAAGCAGAAAAGUCCUCCAAACUCUCAAUAAAAAACAAUGUACCUUUUCAGGAAAAUCUCUGCCAAACCUGAAUUAUUCAAAUGGUAAUGAUUAACUCAUAAUUCUUUUUCAUUCUGCUCAAGGAUAAUUGCAAUCACUGUAGUAAUGAGCAUGGAGAAGAAAUGCCUGGAUUAUGCUCCCUGAGUCAAGACCACACUGCAUUCAAAAAGAUCAAUUCAUCGCAGUAGUGGAUUUGGUAAUUUCCUAGGAGGUAACACAUUUCCCAUAAAAGGAGCAAAUGAAUAGUUUUAAACCUACAUUAAUUUGCAUAAUUAUUUUAUGUAAUCCUUCAUGGAAAAUGAAUAGACAAUUGGAGCAAUAUUGUAUUACUCAGAAAUUUUGUAGAAAAUCAUGAAAGUCAUAUGUUAAUGUACCUCUUAGGCAAUGUUAUGUCCCUGAAGAAGAGAAUGUGUUAAGUGUCAUAAAGGUUAAAAGAGAUCAUUAUAUUCACAAAUGUUUCCAUUAACAUUAAAAACACAGAUUAAUUCUACAGUGUUCUGUUUUAAACCGAUAUGAAAAUGAAA
This is a non-coding RNA of Equus caballus (horse), 2126 nucleotides long. The record is from RefSeq and is a predicted model, not a curated record. Lineage: Eukaryota; Metazoa; Chordata; Mammalia; Perissodactyla; Equidae.